GCCAGGCACGGCGGUGCACGCCUGUAAUCCCAGGGUCUCAGGAGGCUGAGACAGGAGGAUUGUGAGUUCAAAGCCAGGCUCAGUAACUUAGUGAGGCACUAAGCAACUCAAUGAGAUCCUGUCUCUA
This 127-nucleotide small RNA is filed under the name Marmota monax (woodchuck). The record is from RNAcentral. Lineage: Eukaryota; Metazoa; Chordata; Mammalia; Rodentia; Sciuridae.